RNAcentral lists this ribosomal RNA (252 nucleotides) under uncultured bacterium. RNAcentral's name for it is "partial 16S ribosomal RNA". It matches the Rfam family "Bacterial small subunit ribosomal RNA", at positions 524 to 776 of the family's 1533-position model. The record is from RNAcentral.
UACGGAGGAUGCGAGCGUUAUCCGGAUUUAUUGGGUUUAAAGGGUGCGUAGGCGGAUCGUUAAGUCAGUGGUCAAAUUGAGGGGCUCAACCCCUUCCCGCCAUUGAAACUGGCGAUCUUGAGUGGAAGAGAAGUAUGCGGAAUGCGUGGUGUAGCGGUGAAAUGCAUAGAUAUCACGCAGAACCCCGAUUGCGAAGGCAGCAUGCCGGCUUCCGACUGACGCUGAAGCACGAAAGCGUGGGGAGCAAACAGG